AUACGGAGGGUGCAAGCGUUACUCGGAAUCACUGGGCGUAAAGCGUACGUAGGCGGUUAUUUAAGUCAGAUGUGAAAGCCCCGGGCUUAACUUGGGAACUGCAUUUGAAACUGGGUAACUAGAGUUUAGUAGAGGGGAGUGGAAUUUCAGGUGUAGCGGUGAAAUGCGUAGAGAUCUGAAGGAACACCAGUGGCGAAGGCGACUCCCUGGACUAAAACUGACGCUGAGGUACGAAAGCGUGGGUAGCAAACAGGAUUAGAAACCCUAGUAGUCC
RNAcentral lists this ribosomal RNA (274 nucleotides) under uncultured bacterium. RNAcentral's name for it is "partial 16S ribosomal RNA". It matches the Rfam family "Bacterial small subunit ribosomal RNA", at positions 523 to 796 of the family's 1533-position model. The record is from RNAcentral.